RNAcentral lists this ribosomal RNA (452 nucleotides) under uncultured bacterium. RNAcentral's name for it is "partial 16S ribosomal RNA". It matches the Rfam family "Bacterial small subunit ribosomal RNA", at positions 29 to 523 of the family's 1533-position model. The record is from RNAcentral.
AGCGAACGCUGGCGGCAGGCUUAACACAUGCAAGUCGAACGCCCCGCAAGGGGAGUGGCAGACGGGUGAGUAACACGUGGGAACGUACCCUUUGGUUCGGAAUAACUUGGGGAAACUCAAGCUAAUACCGGAUAAGCCCUUAUGGGGAAAGGUUUACUGCCGAAGGAUCGGCCCGCGUCUGAUUAGCUAGUUGGUGAGGUAAUGGCUCACCAAGGCGACGAUCAGUAGCUGGUCUGAGAGGAUGAUCAGCCACACUGGGACUGAGACACGGCCCAGACUCCUACGGGAGGCAGCAGUGGGGAAUAUUGCACAAUGGGCGAAAGCCUGAUGCAGCGACGCCGCGUGAGGGAUGAAGGUCUUCGGAUUGUAAACCUCUUUCAGUAGGGACGAAGCGAAAGUGACGGUACCUAAAGAAGAAGCACCGGCUAACUACGUGCCAGCAGCCGCGGUAA